GACGAACGCUGGCGGCGUGCUUAACACAUGCAAGUCGAACGGAAAGGCCCUGCUUUUGUGGGGUGCUCGAGUGGCGAACGGGUGAGUAACACGUGAGUAACCUGCCCUUGACUUUGGGAUAACUUCAGGAAACUGGGGCUAAUACCGGAUAGGAGCUCCUGCUGCAUGGUGGGGGUUGGAAAGUUUCGGCGGUUGGGGAUGGACUCGCGGCUUAUCAGCUUGUUGGUGGGGUAGUGGCUUACCAAGGCUUUGACGGGUAGCCGGCCUGAGAGGGUGACCGGCCACAGUGGGAAUGAGAUACGGCCCAGACUCCUACGGGAGGCAGCAGUGGGGAAUAUUGCACAAUGGGCGGAAGCCUGAUGCAGCAACGCCGCGUGCGGGAUGACGGCCUUCGGGUUGUAAACCGCUUUCGCCUGUGACGAAGCGUGAGUGACGGUAAUGGGUAAAGAAGCACCGGCUAACUACGUG
RNAcentral lists this ribosomal RNA (468 nucleotides) under uncultured bacterium. RNAcentral describes it as "partial 16S ribosomal RNA". It matches the Rfam family "Bacterial small subunit ribosomal RNA", at positions 28 to 507 of the family's 1533-position model. The record is from RNAcentral.